This is a long non-coding RNA of Bos taurus (domestic cattle), 817 nucleotides long. The record is from Ensembl. NCBI's taxonomy places the organism in Eukaryota, Metazoa, Chordata, Mammalia, Artiodactyla, Bovidae.
GAAACAAGUCAGAAGCCUGGUUAUUAGAGCUGGGCACUGCUGCUGCUGCUGCUGCUGAGUCGCUUCAGUCGUGUCCGACUCUGUACAACCCCAUAGACAGCAGCCCACCAGGCUCCCCCGUCCCUGGGAUUGUCAAGGCUGUCUGGCAAAUUCUGAGUCCCUCCUCCUGUGAAGGCAGUGCCACACCAAGUACUUCAUGGGCCUCAUCUCCUUGUGAUUCUUGUUUCCUAAGGAACCGAACUUAUGGGACUUGUUGAAGAUCACACAGCUGGGAGUUACAGAGCAAGGAUCUGAACCCCAGUGCUGACUAUCUCCAUCUUUCCCUCCAGACCCACUUUCUGUUCUUCUGCACUCCAGAGGCCGACCUGCAUCAGUUGCAUCAACAGCCCCCCUGGCUCUGAUGAAGUCUGUUUUAGCUGCCAGUGGAGUUGAGUCCUUGAGAGCUGGGUCGGUGCUCUUUGUGCUGUGCUCAGUCAGUCAGUGGUGUCUGACUCUUUGUGACGCCAUGGACUACAGCCCUCCAGGCUCCUCUGUCCACAGGAUUCUCCAGGCAAGAGUAUUGGCUUGUCAUGCCCUCCUCCAUUGGAUCUUCCUGACCCAGGGAUCAAACCGAAGUCUCUGUCAUCUCUUGCAUUGGCAGUUGAAUUGUUUACCACUGAGCCACCUGGAAAGCCUCUUUAAACCUCUGCACUUGUGGAAUAAUUACUAAUACUAUCCUCAUGAACUGGAGAAAUUGAGGCAAACAGAGUAAUUUCCCCAAGAUCAUCCAAUCCCCAGGUGGCCCAGCAGGCAUGAAACUGGGUCUGCUGGAUUCCAG